AUUGAACGCUGGCGGCAUGCCUUACACAUGCAAGUCGAACGGCAGCACGGGGCAACCUGGUGGCGAGUGGCGAACGGGUGAGUAAUGCAUCGGAACGUGCCAUUGAGUGGGGGAUAACGUAGCGAAAGUUGCGCUAAUACCGCAUAUUCUGUGAGCAGGAAAGCAGGGGACCGCAAGGCCUUGCGCUCUUUGAGCGGCCGAUGUCAGAUUAGCUAGUUGGUGAGGUAACGGCUUACCAAGGCGACGAUCGUGUAGCGGGUCUGAGAGGAUGAUCCGCCACACUGGAACUGAGACACGGUCCAGACUCCUACGGAGGCAGCAGUGGGGAAUUUUGGACAAUGGGCGCAAGCCUGAUCCAGCCAUGCCGCGUGAGUGAAGAAGGCCUC
This 386-nucleotide ribosomal RNA is filed under the name uncultured bacterium. Its description in RNAcentral is "bacterial SSU rRNA". It matches the Rfam family "Bacterial small subunit ribosomal RNA", at positions 30 to 418 of the family's 1533-position model. The record is from RNAcentral.